GAUGAACGCUGGCGGCGUGCCUAAUACAUGCAAGUCGAGCGAACAGAUGAGGAGCUUGCUCCUCUGACGUUAGCGGCGGACGGGUGAGUAACACGUGGAUAACCUACCUAUAAGACUGGGAUAACUUCGGGAAACCGGAGCUAAUACCGGAUAAUAUAUUGAACCGCAUGGUUCAAUAGUGAAAGACGGUUUUGCUGUCACUUAUAGAUGGAUCCGCGCCGCAUUAGCUAGUUGGUAGGUAACGGCUUACCAAGGCAACGAUGCGUAGCCGACCUGGGAGGGUGAUCGGCCACACUGGAACUGAGACACGGUCCAGACUCCUACGGGAGGCAGCAGUAGGGAAUCUUCCGCAAUGGGCGAAAGCCUGACGGAGCAACGCCGCGUGAGUGAUGAAGGUCUUCGGAUCGUAAAACUCUGUUAUUAGGGAAGAACAAAUGUGUAAGUAACUAUGCACGUCUUGACGGUACCUAAUCAGAAAGCCACGGCUAACUACGUG
RNAcentral lists this ribosomal RNA (496 nucleotides) under uncultured bacterium. RNAcentral describes it as "partial 16S ribosomal RNA". It matches the Rfam family "Bacterial small subunit ribosomal RNA", at positions 28 to 507 of the family's 1533-position model. The record is from RNAcentral.